This 253-nucleotide ribosomal RNA is filed under the name uncultured bacterium. Its description in RNAcentral is "partial 16S ribosomal RNA". It matches the Rfam family "Bacterial small subunit ribosomal RNA", at positions 524 to 776 of the family's 1533-position model. The record is from RNAcentral.
UACGUAGGGACCGAGCGUUGUCCGGAAUCAUUGGGCGUAAAGAGCGUGUAGGCGGCCACUUAAGUCCUGCGUGAAAUCUUGCGGCUCAACCGCAAGCGGUCGUGGGAAACUGGGUGGCUAGAGUGCGGGAGAGGAGAGUGGAAUUCCUGGUGUAGCGGUGGAAUGCGCAGAUAUCAGGAGGAACACCCGUGGCGAAGGCGGCUCUCUGGAACGCAACUGACGCUGAGACGCAAAAGCGUGGGGAGCAAACAGG